RNAcentral lists this transfer RNA (64 nucleotides) under Pterobdella arugamensis. RNAcentral's name for it is "tRNA-Pro". Lineage: Eukaryota; Metazoa; Annelida; Clitellata; Hirudinida; Piscicolidae. The record is from RNAcentral.
CAGAAAAUAGUUUAAUAAAAAUACUAACUUUGGGUGUUAGAGUUCUUUAAUUUAAGUUAUCUGA